Molecule: ribosomal RNA, 253 nt
Filed under: uncultured bacterium
Lineage: Bacteria
Description: partial 16S ribosomal RNA
Rfam family: Bacterial small subunit ribosomal RNA
Source: RNAcentral
UACGAAGGGGGCUAGCGCUGCUCGGAAUCACUGGGCGUAAAGGGUGCGUAGGCGGGUCUUUAAGUCAGGGGUGAAAUCCUGGAGCUCAACUCCAGAACUGCCUUUGAUACUGAAGAUCUUGAGUUCGGGAGAGGUGAGUGGAACUGCGAGUGUAGAGGUGAAAUUCGUAGAUAUUCGCAAGAACACCAGUGGCGAAGGCGGCUCACUGGACCGGAACUGACGCUGAGGCGCGAAAGCGUGGGGAGCAAACAGG